RNAcentral lists this microRNA precursor (120 nucleotides) under Brassica napus (rape). RNAcentral's name for it is "MIR9563 microRNA precursor family". It matches the Rfam family "MIR9563 microRNA precursor family". Lineage: Eukaryota; Viridiplantae; Streptophyta; Magnoliopsida; Brassicales; Brassicaceae. The record is from Rfam by way of RNAcentral.
GGAAGUUAAUAAAUUUUUUCUUAACUUUUAAUUAAAAGAACUAAGAACCGGUUCUUAAAGUAUUUAAGAACCGGUUCUUAGCUUUUUUAGUUAAAGUUAAGAAACAGUUUCUUAACUUCC